This 11047-nucleotide long non-coding RNA is filed under the name Homo sapiens (human). RNAcentral describes it as "non-protein coding LINC00927:55". The record is from RNAcentral. Lineage: Eukaryota; Metazoa; Chordata; Mammalia; Primates; Hominidae.
AGAGCCCCCUCUCGGCUGCUGGCCCGGGCUCGCCCGCGCCGCUGGGGGCUCUGACUCCUGCCGAGCCGGGCCUGGGCAGCGCCCCCCGCGCCCCGCGAGCCCGCGCCCCCGUCACCGGGAAACGCCGUAGCCGGCGAUCCGCGGUCGCCCUGGGCUCGGCGCCGGCCCAGCCAGGACCCCGGGAGCGCACGGGACGGGCCUCGCCAGUCACACUCCAGCGCCCCCACGAGCCAGCACAGUGCCUGCUCUCAGUGAAAGGCCACUGUUCUCCUUGGGUGACCCCCAUGAUGCCUGACCGCUCCUCGUGCCUCCUGGAACAGCCAGGGUCCUUAUGAAGUGGUGACCACUCCAGUCAGCAGGGGUGGAAAAUGGUACCAGUCAAACCCGAGGCGGAGGAGGAGCAGCCCGCAGUCGCUGCCGCGAGAUGGAGGAGCCCACGCCCGAGCCCGUCUAUGUCGACGUAGACAAAGGGCUGACCUUGGCCUGCUUCGUCUUCCUCUGCCUCUUCCUUGUCGUGAUGAUCAUCCGCUGUGCCAAGGUCAUCAUGGACCCUUACAGCGCCAUCCCCACAUCCACCUGGGAGGAGCAGCACCUGGACGACUGAGGCACAGCGGCUGUGGGGACUGGACCUGGCGCUCUGUGGGUGGCUGUGCCCCAGGAUGCAUCCGUGUGUUCCCUGCCAGCCUGCCAUCCCACAGAGGCAAGGAAUGAAUCUGGCCACCCAGGGAAACAGAAGGUGCAGCUUAGCCCUCUCAGCCCUCCCUCGAGCACCAGCGUGGAAUGCCCGGGUGCCGUGGGUGUCGCAACCAUGGACCAGCCAGGGGAAAAGAGCCCUGGACCAGGACCCAGGAGGCUGGGGUUCCAGUGUGGGGAGUCCCUGUGAGAUGAUAGGGUAGUCACCUUCCCAGGUUCCUGGGCACCUUUUGGAACUGGAUCCAGCAACAGACACCCCCCAUCCAUCACAUAACAGUGGUCUUGUCUUGAGGAGACUCUCGGUCCUUUAAAUGCAAAGUAGCAAUGGAGGCUCCCAACCAAGAGGUCCCACCUGAACCCCAGCCCCCUCCCCAUGGACUAGCAGUGGUGUGGCAGUGAGGGGGGAAAGCGGGUUGAGGGAGUCUCACCUGAAAAUUCACAAAACGCACAGGAUAUGGGCUGCUUCCAAGCAGUAUUUUUUUAAACUAAAAUAUAGAGGGAUAUAUUUUUCCUGUUAUAAAUAAAAUGUACAUUUUAGAAACUUGGGAAAAUGCAGAUAAAUAGAAAGAAAGGGGGAGGAAAUAACACUUAUAAUCCCACCUCCCGGAAACCACCAUUUUGAUAUAUUUUCUUCCAGCCUUUUUACUUGUAUUUUUUAGUCAAAUUCAUACUCUGUGCAUGAUGUUGUAUCGCCUCAUAUGAUAGCAGGAAUACUUCCCCAUUACAUCAAACACUCUUCUUAGCUGCCAGUUUUAGUGACCGAAGGGCAUCCCAUCGGUUGGGUAGGUCAUGGUUAAAAAAUCAUCUCCUUUGGUUGCAUAUUUAAUUAUUUUCCACUAUUUUUUCCUCACACAAAAUGAUUUCGCCCGGUACCCUUUUUGGGGGUGCACAGUCCAUGAGAUGAAUAUUGAAUGGGGAGACCUGGGUUCUAGUCUCGCAUUUACCAGUCAGGUUACAAUGCGACCUUGAGCAAGUCACUUCACCUCCCAGCGCCUCAGUUUCCUCAUUGUAAGAUAGGAAAAGCCUUGUCAUUUUUAAAAUUUUAUUUUUUGCAUAUACCUCAUGUGAACGAAAGGACAGAAAGGGGAGUGAAUAUACUAUGAAUGUGCUAUAGUCGGAGUUGGGGGGCAAGGAAGAAGUCAUCGAUGAUGGCUCUUCUCAGGCCCUCCCUCCUCCCACCUCUUUCUGCCCUCCACCCCACUCCCACUCCAUCACCUACAUCUAUGACCUUGCAGCAAAAUCAUUAGAGCAGAGCCUACAAAACCGGCCCCAAGUCCCAAUUCCUCUACUUCCUUGUUAGAGGACCCCAAAUAACUCACUCAGCCUCUCUGAGCCCCAAUUUCCUCACCUGUAAAGUGAGGGAAUAACAUCUACCUCGCAAGGUUGUUGUGAGGACGAAAUGAGAGAACAUGGGCAAACAUGAAUGUUCUUGAAUUCACCACCCCAGGAGAAGCCAGGGGUCUGAGCUGGGAGGAGCAGAGGUUCUGGGUGCCCCCUGCCCCUACAGAGCCUGGCACCUUCAGCUUUUCUCAACUUCUGAGGGCUGCUUCCUACAGGCCAAAUCUCCCAGCCGGAACCACUUGGUCAGAGGAACACUCACAGCAGCCUUUCCCAGCACCUGACCUCAAGGGAUAUGGCGUCUACCAAUUUACAUAAUUGCCUUUGUCAUCAGUUUUCCCAUAACAUGGUACGAAGUUAAAUGAGAGCACCUGAGCUCCCCUUCCUCUGAGUGCAUUUAUUCCAUCCCUCCAAGCUGUGGCCUUCCAUCCCCAUCCAAGAGACCUGCAGCUGUGAAGAAGCUCAAGACUUCUUUCUCAUUGCCUGCCUCCCAGCCAUUAGUCCCCACCACAGCCCAGGCCACCUGGAAAAUGGGUUCCAAAGCACUAUCACUACUAGGUGACCCCUGAAUGUGGACAAGGCCACAGCUCUUCAGGCAGCAUUUCAGGGGCUAUCCAGUUGUCAUCCCUCUCAUACCCCUCUCCUACCCACCCCUAUCCCCACUAUUGUGGAAUGCACGAAGGGACAGCUGGCAAAGGCAGUGAACCAAGAUGCAGGGAAGGCCCUGUAUGAUGGGGAGGAUCUAAAGCAAAAGCCUUUUGUGCAUUGCCUCAGGUUCAGCAGCAGCAGCCCUCACUCUGAAGCCUACCUUGAGAAGCCAGGCAUUUCUGUGAAAAGCUCAUCAGCAUGCAUUUACAAUGCAAACUAGAACCAACUCCCAGUCAGCUAAUAACAGACCCCAGGAAAAAGAAAAGGUCUUCCAGACCUCCCCGACACACUUUAGAACCCUCAGGGGUGAAAAAGAGGGUGCUCCAGGGCAGUGCAACUUAAACUGUGGUUGAAGGACAAACAGCCUCUGCAAUACUUGAGGAGCUUGUUAGAAACCCAAACUCACAGCCCCCUCCAGACCUACGUACAGAAUGUAUAUUAGCAAGAUUCGCUAGGUGGUUUAUGUGCACGUUAAAGUUUAAGAAGCACUGCCUGAGAAUCCCUUGGUCCUAAUUAAUUCUUUUCCACACUCAGAUUUGCUAAUGGGUUUCACCUUAUCUCUUGACUCUUGUUUGAUGGCAACAGGAAAUAGUAGCAUUUCAGGAAGGGUGGAAAAUAUAAAAAGCACUCCCAACCCAAGCCUCCAAAAAACAGCAAUUUUCAUUUUGUGUCCAUAUAUUCCCUUCUAAUCAUUGUCCUCAUGCAAGAUUUUUUUUCAUAAAGAUGAUCUGCUACAUAAUUUUAUAUCAUACUCUUUCUCCUAACAUUACAUCACAAGUAUACUUUCAUGUUGCUGCUACAUUCUUCACACUUGUCAUUUUAAUGGCCAUAAAACAUGACAUCUAGUGCACAUAUAUAAUUAUGUAGACUCCUAUUAUUAAAUAUUUGGAUUUCUUCCAUUUUCCCUGUUGUACAUGUUCCAAGCAAAAAAAGAAAGAUCAAGAUAGAUAUGAUGAAGCCGGGGAGCUUGCUUAAGACAGGGGAGAAUAAAUACUUACAGUACACUCUCUCCAUUUAAGAGACACAUGGAGCACAUGGGGGAGGGAGACCUGUCUAAGAACUGGAUCAUAUUAAGGAGAAAAAAGCAACUGGAAUCUCAGGCUUCAGUUGUUGCAUUAUGCUGCUGAAGCAUAGAGGAGAUGGUCCUUUGUGAUCAGAGCGUCUCAACUCGUUUCUGGCAAGCUAAGAUGAACUUUGGGGUUGUGGAUAGAAAGAUAAACUGAUCUGCAAAAGAAAUGCACAGAAGUAUUGAAGGCUAGAAGUUGGCAGACAAGAAAUGAAAAGCAUUUAGAGAAUGGGAGGCCUGUGAAGGUAGCCACAACCCAGGACUUAAGGAGAACACAGGCUGGAGAGGAACUCUCCAAAGCAGAGAAUGGGUGGUGGGUUUUCCAGGCAAUGGUGCCUAGUGGCCAGUUUUAAGUUGUUGCUUGUACUGUGCUCAGCUACACUCCCUUCAUGUUGCCCCAAGCCCUCUCUAAAGUCUGAUAAAUGAUCCACCACUCUGCAGCAGUGGUCUUUGGGACAAUGAAGACACCUCGGUGGUGGGUCACUUAGGGAAAUACAAUCUGGAAGGGGCCAACAGUCCCAGAGACAAGUGGGGUAGCAGAAAUAUGCAGAACCAAGAGUUCAGAGUGAUGGUCACUAGAAGAAAUGUGGCCUCUAAGGAUGCUCAGACAGGUGGAUAUGUAUAGUAGGACCCUAGCUUUACCAUCCUGGCAUAUCAUUCCCAUCAUAGCUAUUUCAUUUUUUUCCAAUUAGUUGCUGAAAUGUCUACAUGUUCUUAUCGAGUUGAAAGAUCAGUGUCUCCCUGUCUCAUUAAAUUUCCAGAACUUCAGAGGCUAAAUCAAUCCAAAAGGGGCUGGCCCUGCUUUCAAACACCAAGUGAAGAGAACUACAAAGUUUGGUGUGUCCACUAGUGUGGUUUCAUACCCCCUAGGUCUUGCUGUUGAGGACUGGUUCUGCCAGGCAUGAUCAAUGACCACCCACAAUGUCCUGUGGCCCAGCCUGUGGAGAGGUGCCCAAACAGAGUUAUCUGGGUCCACAUCCAUGUGCCCAGCUAUUCUGUCCAAUCAUAGCACAAAGACAGGUUGCCUGUGUCCAGAGGGACACACAGCCUCAGGCACACCAGCCCUUACUUAUGAGCUUGAUGGUCAUCAGCAAAGACUCUCUCCCUUUAGGAGGGUUCUCCUUGGGACUUUUCAGUGUCUUGGCAGGAAAGAGAUGGCACACACGAAGCACUGAUUGAAGACAGUUUAAUGAAAGAAUAUUUACAGAGGUUGGGCAAGGGUAUGGAAAACAACAGGGAACAGUAAAACACCCAGGGAUGACAAGGCAAGGUAGCUCAUGUCUGUAAUCUCAGCACUUUGGGAGGCCAACACAGGCAGAUUGCUUGAGCCCAGGAGUUUGAAACCAGCCUGGCAACAUAAGCAAGAAUCUGUUUAUCUACAAAAAAUAAAAUAAUUAAAAAAAAAUUACCUGGCUGUGGUGUUGCACACCUAUAGUCCCAGCUACUCAGGAGUCUGAGGUGGGAGGAUCACUUGAGUCCAGGAGUUUGAGGUUACAAUGAGCUAGGAUCACACUACUGCACUCCAGCCUAGGCGACAAAGAGAGAUGCUGUCUCUAAAAAUAAAAAACAAAAACAAACUACCCAGGAACAGGCAGGCCACCAACUGUUACCAUCUCUUGCCUAGAGAGACAAGGAGAAGGAUCUAGAACCCAGGGAGAGCUAUAGCCAUGGAGAAGGAGUCACCCAAUGGAAGCCCUGGCCACAGCUAGAGGAUCAAAACUCCUGCACCCACUGCAGCUCAGUAGGAAGAGAGCUGGGGGAAUAAAUACCUUGACCUCUUGCCUCCUGCCCUCCAAUCUCCUGUCUGGGUCUUCCAUUGGCCAAAAACAACAGAAGCUAAAGGUCAGGGGACCCUGGGUGAUACGGUCCACAUAGGCAGCACACUGGAGCAAAAGAAGAAAAACCAGCACAAUUCAUCUUAUUACCACUUAGCAGCCAUUCACAAACUUUGCUUAGAUGGGAGAAAAAUAUUUUGUCCCCGGCACAGGGGAAACAUAAAAUCUCACCAGCAGCCAUAUUGUCUGGGGGUGAUAGCAAUUUAGUCCCACUCCCUCCUGCAACUUAAAUCAUAAUGUAGCCAGUCCCGGGUAAGUGGAACACUUCCUGUAAAGCACAACUGCUAGUGCCCCCUUCUGUGGCUGGUCAUGAGGCCCAGAGUGGUAACUGCAGUCUUGUUCUCCCACCACCCAUUCCAUAGCCCCUCUACUUUCUGGCAGUCCCUUAGCUGUUGGAGAAUUUUAUCUGGUGGAAUGACCCAAAUCUUCAUCCACAGAGGAUUCAAAUUCUUAGUGCCGUGUCUUCAAUGAGUUGCCACAGUAUCCACAGAUUCCUAAAGAACAUGAAGAGGCCUUGAAGAUCUCACCUGGAAGCUCUGUAAAAUUAUCAGAAAGAAUAGCAGGUGCUCUAGGGCAACACUACUCAAACUAUGGUCCACGGAUGGACAGCAUUGGCAUCUCUGGGGAGCUUGUUAGAAAUCUAAUUUCAUGCCCCCACCUCAGGCUUACAGAAUGAGGACAAGGGAUACAGGGAGUACCAAGUGCCCUAGCGAAUCCCAGGGUUCCAAAGCUAGUACUCCUUGCCCCUAUUGUGUAGCAGAAACCCCACUUUCCCUUGGAUAUUGGGGUUAACCAUCCUGACAGUGCAGUGAUCUCUUUCUCUGCCAAUAUUUCAACAUAAGGAGCCCCAGAUGGCACAAGAUCAUCUUCCAAUUUAACAGACCCAUAACUAUAUUCCCUGGUGGAAGCAGUUCCUCUUGGUCACUAGAGAUUUCCAAACCCACAAAACCUAAGGUUUCUUGGUUAAAGGCCAUGUUUGUGGGAUAUGCUGAGAUGAAUAUGCUGUGGUUUGAAUGUGUCCCCCAAAGUUCAUAUGUUGGAAACUUGAUUCCCAUUGCAACAGUGUUGAGAUCUGGGGCCCAAUGAGAGGUGAUUAGGCCAUGAGGGCGGAGUGAAUGGAUUAAUGCAGUUAUCUCAAGAGUGGGUUUGUUAUGAAGGGGGUGUUUGGUCCUCUUUUCUCUCUUGCCCAUGUGAUUCCUUCCACCAUGUUUAUGAUGCAACAAGAAGGUCCUCACCAGAUGCUGGUUCCUUGAUCUUGUAUUUUGCAGCCUCCAAAAUCGUGAGCCAAAUAAAUUUCUAUUCAUUAUAAAUUACCCAGUUUGUGUUGUUCUGUUUUAGCAGCACAAAAUGAAAGAAUGAAACACCACAAAUGGCAGGGAGGGGCAGGAAUGGCAAAUCCAUAUCUGGAAUAUGUGUCUAUUCCUACUGCCCUCUAUGAUGAAAGGGAUUCAGUGUAAUCAACCUGCUACCAAGUAAGCGGUUGGUCUGUCUCCUACCACCCAUCUCUGGGAAUGGUGCCAUAUCAGGGGCUUGGCAUUGGUCUCAUUCAUUGGAAGGCUACAUAUCCAGAAGUUAUGGAAACCAAUGGACCUUCACAAGGGAAAGCCCAUAGUGUUGAUAGCCUCUAUCCCUUCCACUAUGGUCACUCUGUUCAUGAUGUCAUUGAGCAAACACCAGAGUAGACAGAGGAAGAGGCUCACACCCCCAGGUUGGGUCAUCUUAUCCAGCUGAUCGUUGAGAGUCUUUUCUGCAGUGGAUGCCCUCUGAUAGGCAUUUAGAUGGCUCUUGAAUAUCUUGACACCCAGGGCCCCUUCAAAGAUGUCUUUUCACACAUAUCUGCCCAAGACUGCCUUGGACCCUCUCUUCCCAUCCUGUUCAGUUGGGUCAACACUGUGAUUCUCCUAUUGGAGAUGGUUAGGAAUUCCAUACAGCACUCCAUUUGCAACAGAUACUUCUGGCACUAUUGGAUCUGCUGAUCUUAAGGUCCAAAUGGCAGAGUAGCUUUCAUCACAGUCUGGAUAUACCUUUUCUAGAGCCCUGUAUUAUUCUGGGCCCCAUUCAAAACCAGCAAUCUUAUGAUGUAACCAGUAAAUCCAUCAGACACACACACAAAUGUUCUAUAUAUUGCCUCAAAAAUCCAGAGAUCCAUCAACUGCUGAGCCUCAUUCUUUAUGGUGGAAGACACAAGGUGAAGCAACAUGUUUCUCAUCUUAGUGGGGAUAUUCCAACAGGCCUCAGCCUGCUAGAACCCAAGAAGUUUCACCAAUGUGUCAGGUCACUGAACCUCCACAUGUGUUUUCUUCCCCUCUCUGGCAAGCAUGUGGCAGUACAGCACUUGCUAGUCCUCAUUCACCAGAUCCAAUUAGCAUAAUGUUAUCAAUGUAGCAGGCAAUCAUAAAGUUCUAUGGGCUGUCAAGAUGAUAAGGGUCUCAUAUCAUAUGACAGAAACCAGGAGAAUUGGCAGAUCCCUGAGGUAAUGCAUUUAGGGUGUGCCGCAGUCUUGUAACAGGUGAAGGUGAACUCCUUCUGAUUAUCUGUAUUGAUUGUGAUGCAAUGGAAACUAUUUCUAAUAUGACAGUUCUCAAACUUCAGUAUGCAUUAGAAUCACCGGGACGGCUCAUUCUAACACAGCUGGUAAGCCCCUAGAAUUUUUAAUUCAGGUGGUCUUCAGUGGAGUUCUAUAAAUUGUACAUCAAACACAUUCCAAGGUUAAGCUGCUAAUCCAGACCUACCUUUUGAGAAUUACUGUUCUAGUCACCAGGUACAAUACCAGGUGCACACCAGGUGUCAGGGGCUGAGCGGAUCUUCUCUAAUAAAGAUACCACAUCCAGAACAACUCCUGAAAUGGCAUUAAUUCCUGAUUGUGUUUAUGAAAAUCUGUAGGACCCACCUGGCUUUUGCAUAAGCCAGACAGGUGACUUAAAUAGUGAUGUGAUUAGAACCACCUGUCCUGCAUCUCUCAAGUCUUUGAAGGGGGCACAAUUCAAUUGCCCUGAAGAUGCAGAAUUGCUUUUGGUUUACUAUUUUGUCACAAAGAGGCAGUUCCAAGGGCUUCCAUGGGGCCACUUCUACAAUAAUAGCCCUCACUCCAUGGGUCCAAUUGUCACCCUUAAUACCAAUGACUUUAUUCAUCAGGAUUUAAGCGGCAAAUUCAAAAGGUUCAAUGAAGAGGGUUUAAUUUUGGGACAAUUUUCAGAGGGACAGGUAAGGUAAAGAGAAUCAGUAAGGGUUGAUGAUUAAUCCAGGGUUAACAAUGAUAAGAAGCCAUUACUGCCCCUUGCCUGGGGAGAAAACAGUGGCACCAGAAUCUAGCAAAGACUGUGGUUAUGUUGCCCACAGGAGCAGUAGGACAUAGUGGGACACAGCCACUGCCCAAACCAUGGCUCAGCAGGGAAAGAGUAAGGAGGAUGAUGCUCUCUGCUGCUUUAUUCCUCUAUAUUCCAACCUCUGCCUGCACCUCCACUGGCCAAUCCUAACCAGCAGCCAGAGAGCAUGAGCCUGGGUGAUGUUGUCCAACGAGGUCAGCCUCCAGGUGCGCAAACAGCAGGGCAGGGAAGGAUGGAGAAUAGAUCUGGAGGGACAAAGGGAGAUGAAUCUGCAGAGGGCCCUGGGUGUUCUUCCUGCCAACAGACCUCAGUCAGGACCCAACCAGUGCACCCAAACCAAUUUUCUAACUUUGACUAUUUAGGAGGGAGGAUUGGAAUACCAGUUUCUCACAUCCCUUGGACUUCUUAUGCAAUUUGGUCCACUCCCUCUCCACCCUUCUGCACCAAAGAGAGGGGCACCCUGGUUAUAUCCAACUAUACCCUUUUUCCAAGGAAAGGAGUGUCCACUUGCCUCAUCUACAUAACUAAGAAGGACCCCAGAAUUGAGAAUACUUCAGCUGACCAUACAGAGGCUGCUGGUCAACAUAUACCCCCAAAAAAGAUUACGCUGUCCCUUAGAAGCCACCUCCAUUUCACAGCAGUCAUCCCAUUAAGUGGGGAGAUAUGCGGUUUCACUUUGGAGAUAGGACAGCAGCUCAAGCUUUCCACGAAUAUAUAUUAAGGGAAGAGAGACCCCAGAAAGCUAAAUGACUUGAUGACAUUCAGGAGGCUGAAAGUUAGGCUACAAAAAUAGUGCUUCAGUGACCAACCUUGGUGCACACAGGUUUUUUUUUUUUUUCCUUUUUUCUUCUCUUAGAUUACCAAAUACAGCACUAAUAUCAUUUGAAAGAAGAGUUUGCUUGAGCUUAUAGCUACGAAACGGGGAACUUUGUGAGUACAAUGCCACACACAUUUAGAAGCAACUACUGUCUAACAGGGGCUUUGGACACAAAGAUGCAUAGAGCACAGCCCUGCCCUUGAGAAUCUUGCUUCCACAGGCCGAAAUCAAAGUCCACAUACCACUAGACCAUAAAUGGGGAGAGUGUUGUCCUAGAUGCUGAAAGCUCUAGAAUCCAGUUUCAGCUCUGCCACUCACUAGUUGUGUGAAAUGAACAAGUCUCUGCUAUUACAAAACAAAUAUCAGAGACCGUGUGGGGUCCAAAGAUGGAGGUAAAGAAGCAAUAUUGCCCUUAGGCUGGGGUAAGGUAUGGAGUGGGGGCUUCCUUGGAACUCAUGCCACAGAGGGCCCAGCUUAUAACAGAUACGCACAUACAAAUCAAUUUGUUCAAAUUCAUACAAGCACCUCUAUCCCUCGGGCCUCAGGUUGGUGCAGCUCAACCUGUACUGCAAAUAUGAGUAAUACUGUCCAAGCCAGGGGAGUUCUUCUUUACAUCCCUGCCCUGUGUCCCCAGAAUAAAAGAGACUGUGUGAAUGUCACGCAGGACUGUGGCAGGUCCAACCCUGGAGGUGGACAUGUCAGUGGAAGCGCUUAGGUAAGAGAAAGGAAUGAUUAUUCAACUUGUUACACACUUCCUCCUAGCCAGAAUGUAACUGAUUCUUCCCCAAACAAAUGACAUUUCCCAUUUAUAUCAAAUAUCCACUUUCUUGCUUUUUUUUUUUCUUUUUUGGCUUUUAUAUGAUUGAAAAUUGGUAAAAUAGGCAACUGAACUUAAUUAUCAUUGCCCUUGAAGAGAGUUGAUGGGAUGGCAAUAUUUGGAUGAGAAUUAAAGACAUAAAUUCAUCAACUACAUACCUACUUUAUAAAUUUUUAAAACCAAACUUUAUUUCCAAUCUGUGGUUCUGAAGGGACUCACAACAUGUGCCCUCGUUGGCACAUGGGUCUCAUAACCUAAACAAAGAGUGAUACUAAUUCUUUACUUUGGCAACUAAGUGGACAGUGAACACUAAGACUGCAAAGUAGUUUUGUUUUUAUAAAAUAUAUUUAAUAAGAUUUAAUUAAUUUUUUUGAGCUGGGUGCAGUGACACGGGCUUGUAAUUCCAGCUACUCAGAUGGCUGAGGCAGGAUGAUCCCUUGAGCCCAGGAGUUUGAGGCCAGCCUGGGCAGCAUAGUGAGACCCCAUAUCAAAAAACAAAACAAAAAC